Molecule: ribosomal RNA, 449 nt
Filed under: uncultured bacterium
Lineage: Bacteria
Description: partial 16S ribosomal RNA
Rfam family: Bacterial small subunit ribosomal RNA
Source: RNAcentral
AACGAACGCUGGCGGCAGGCUUAACACAUGCAAGUCGAGCGCAUCCUUCGGGGUGAGCGGCAGACGGGUGAGUAACGCGUGGGAACGUACCCUUUCCUACGGAAUAGCUCCGGGAAACUGGAAUUAAUACCGUAUACGCCCUUAGGGGGAAAGAUUUAUCGGGGAAGGAUCGGCCCGCGUUGGAUUAGCUAGUUGGUGGGGUAAAGGCCUACCAAGGCGACGAUCCAUAGCUGGUCUGAGAGGAUGAUCAGCCACAUUGGGACUGAGACACGGCCCAAACUCCUACGGGAGGCAGCAGUGGGGAGUAUUGGACAAUGGGCGCAAGCCUGAUCCAGCCAUGCCGCGUGAGUGAUGAAGGCCUUAGGGUUGUAAAGCUCUUUCAGUAGGGAAGAUAGUGACGGUACCUACAGAAGAAGCCCCGGCUAACUUCGCGCCAGCCGCCGCGGUAA